GUGCUUGCUUCAACAGCACAUAUACUAAAGUUGGAACGAUACAGAGAAGAUUAGCAUGGCCCCUAUACAAGGAUGACACACAAAUUUGUGUGUCAUAUUUAA
This 102-nucleotide small nuclear RNA is filed under the name Nannospalax galili (Upper Galilee mountains blind mole rat). Lineage: Eukaryota; Metazoa; Chordata; Mammalia; Rodentia; Spalacidae. The record is from RNAcentral.